RNAcentral lists this ribosomal RNA (406 nucleotides) under uncultured bacterium. Its description in RNAcentral is "partial 16S ribosomal RNA". It matches the Rfam family "Bacterial small subunit ribosomal RNA", at positions 30 to 526 of the family's 1533-position model. The record is from RNAcentral.
AUUGAACGCUGGCGGCAGGCCUAACACAUGCAAGUCGAGCGAGCGGCGGACGGGUGUGUAAUGUCUGGGAAACUGCCUGUUGGAGGGGGGUAAAUACUGGGAACGGUAGCUAAUACCGCAUACCAUCAGAUGUGCCCAGAUGGGAGUAGCUAGUAGGUGGGGUAAUGGCUCACCUAGGCGACGAUCCCUAGCUGGUGUGUGAGGAGGACCAGCCACACUGGAACUGAGACACGGUCCAGACUCCUACGGGAGGCAGCAGUGGGGAAUAUUGCACAAUGGGCGCAAGCCUGAUGCAGCCAUGCCGCGUGUGUGAAGAAGGCCUUCGGGUUGUAAAGCACUUUCAGCGGGGAGGCGUUACCCGCAGAAGAAGCACCGGCUAACUCCGUGCCAGCAGCCGCGGUAAUAC